This 323-nucleotide ribosomal RNA is filed under the name uncultured archaeon. RNAcentral describes it as "bacterial SSU rRNA". It matches the Rfam family "Archaeal small subunit ribosomal RNA", at positions 538 to 861 of the family's 1478-position model. The record is from RNAcentral.
UCUCCUGUUAAAUCCAACGGCCCAACCGUUGGUCUGCAGGAGAUACCGCCGGGCUAGGAGGCGGGAGAGGCGGACGCUACUCCGAGGGUAGGGGUAAAAUCCUUUGAUCCCCGGAAGACCACCAGUGGCGAAGGCGGUCCGCCAGAACGCGCUCGACGGUGAGGGAUGAAAGCUGGGGGAGCGAACCGGAUUAGAUACCCGGGUAGUCCCAGCUGUAAACGAUGCGAGCUAGGUGACACGACGCCUUCGGGGCAUCGUGGUGCCGCAGGGAAGCCGUUAAGCUCGCCGCCUGGGGAGUACGGACGCAAGUCUGAAACUUAAAG